UGGGGAAUUUUGGACAAUGGGGGAAACCCUGAUCCAGCCAUCCCGCGUGUGCGAUGAAGGCCUUCGGGUUGUAAAGCACUUUUGGCAGGAAAGAAACGUCGCGGGUUAAUACCCCGCGAAACUGACGGUACCUGCAGAAUAAGCACCGGCUAACUACGUGCCAGCAGCCGCGGUAAUACGUAGGGUGCAAGCGUUAAUCGGAAUUACUGGGCGUAAAGCGUGCGCAGGCGGUUCGGAAAGAAAGAUGUGAAAUCCCAGAGCUUAACUUUGGAACUGCAUUUUUAACUACCGGGCUAGAGUGUGUCAGAGGGAGGUGGAAUUCCGCGUGUAGCAGUGAAAUGCGUAGAUAUGCGGAGGAACACCGAUGGCGAAGGCAGCCUCCUGGGAUAACACUGACGCUCAUGCACGAAAGCGUGGGGAGCAAACAGGAUUAGAUACCCUGGUAGUCCACGCCCUAAACGAUGUCAACUAGCUGUUGGGGCCUUCGGGCCUUGGUAGCGCAGCUAACGCGUGAAGUUGACCGCCUGGGGAGUAC
This 535-nucleotide ribosomal RNA is filed under the name uncultured bacterium. RNAcentral describes it as "partial 16S ribosomal RNA". It matches the Rfam family "Bacterial small subunit ribosomal RNA", at positions 355 to 883 of the family's 1533-position model. The record is from RNAcentral.